This is a long non-coding RNA of Felis catus (domestic cat), 1480 nucleotides long. RefSeq lists it as uncharacterized. NCBI's taxonomy places the organism in Eukaryota, Metazoa, Chordata, Mammalia, Carnivora, Felidae. The transcript has 4 exons. The record is from RefSeq and is a predicted model, not a curated record.
AGCACAGAACCCGAUGCGGGGCUCGAACUCAUGGACCCCGGGAUCAUGACCUGAGCUGAAGUCGGCCGCUUAACCGACUGAGCCACCCAGGCGCCCUGCUGUUAUUGUGUUUAAUGUUCCUUUGCAUAAUAUGGUCUUUACCAAAUGAUGUGUAAUGUUUUUCUUGGGCUCCUUUUUGGGAUGCUUGUAUUAGGGUGCAUAACAUUGAGAUUGCGGGGCUUGGGAUAAAAAAAGAGAAUGUAGGUGAAGCAUGAUUUACAUGUGGUGCACCAGCUUCUAAAGCCUUGUGACAAGGCACCAAACGGAAAAGAUUCUGAUUUAGCAGUUGUCACAUAAGCAUAUUCCAUGAGUCAAACAUGGAGGAAAAAAUGGAGCACUUGAAGUAAAACAAAUAGUUUUGCCAGUUCAUUGUAAUUAAGCAGUCAUGGAGCACUUGAUUUGCUUGUGCCUAGAAAGGUUGGUAUAAGAGUCAGGGGGGUGACAGGUGGAUCCCUUCUGGGACAUGGCAUGGUGGCAAGAUGUGUAAGUUUCCUUGUUAUGUACUAAGGAGUAUGGACAGUCAAGUAAAAAGAUUCCCUAGCAUUCUCUCCUUUUCAGAGCAAGCCAGUAUCCAAGGCGCCAAGUAAGGAGGCAAAGUAAAGAGGGCCCUGGUAAUGUCACUCACAUCUCUUCCCAUGAUGGAUUCAGGAAAUCCUGUACUACCGAUGUUUUGGAUGGAAAUACAAUCAAUAUCAUUAUCUUCAAGACAUCAGACAUAAAGAACACAGAGGGGAAGAGACACCAGGAAUGUGCACACACACACGGUGAAGACCAACUUGAGGACAUGGAGACAAUGUGACCAUCUCAAGCCAAGGAGACCUCAGGAGAAACCAACCUGCCAAUACCUUGAUCUUGAACUUCCAGUCUCCAGAACGUUUAGGGGAAUCUCGCAACAUCUGAUGUGGUCUUCCUCGGAAGAGAAAGGAAGUUCAACCUAGCAACGUCCGAAAAGAGCAUGCUACGAACACUCAAAAGUGGCAAAUGACCUAGGGGUGGAGCCAUCGAUGUGACAGAUGUGACUGACUCUAGUCUGUUCGGCGGUGUGUCACAGGAUGCUCAGUGUGCCGGGCCUCCCCCACCUUCAUUUCUUUCUUUAAUCAUUUUCAUCUCACAUUUUGAUGAUUUUUCUCAGCCCUUUAAAAGUCUCAUUGAAUCCACUAAUGAACGGAGCACUGAAAAUGUGCUAAUUUGCGAACCUGUGGUCUCAUGGCCAAACUGAUGCUGCCUUUUCCCAGAUGACAGUCCCAGAAUUGAAAGUGACCGCACACCGUGGUCCUCAGAGGACGGAAAUGCGUUCAUGAGUAAGAAAUGAAAUUGCAAGUUUAUGGAGCGUCGUUUCAUAUCUAGACGGCCACGUUGUGCCUGGGUCUUUGGUUCAGACAAUUAGCUGCAUUAUUGCUCUGGCAAUAAAUAAAUAAAUAAACAAGCCUAUUUUGUGAAA